AACGAACGUUAGCGGCGCGCCUAACACAUGCAAGUCGCACGAGAAAGGGCUUCGGCCCCGGUAAAGUGGCGCACGGGUGAGUAACACGUAGGAAACCUUCCCUCGAGCGGGGGAUAACGUCCCGAAAGGGGCGCUAAUACCGCAUAUGCCCACGUCUUCUUCGGGAGAUGAGGGGAAAGCUGGCCUCUGUAUACAAGCUAGCACUCGAGAAUGGUCCUGCGGCGCAUCAGCUAGUUGGUGGGGUAACGGCCUACCAAGGCGAAGACGCGUAGCUGGUCUGAGAGGAUGAUCAGCCACACUGGCACUGAAACACGGGCCAGACUCCUACGGAGGCAGCAGUGGGGAAUAUUGGACAAUGGGCGCAAGCCUGAUCCAGCCACGCCGCGUGAGUGAUGAAGGCC
RNAcentral lists this ribosomal RNA (401 nucleotides) under uncultured bacterium. RNAcentral's name for it is "bacterial SSU rRNA". It matches the Rfam family "Bacterial small subunit ribosomal RNA", at positions 29 to 416 of the family's 1533-position model. The record is from RNAcentral.